This 1936-nucleotide long non-coding RNA is filed under the name Homo sapiens (human). RNAcentral's name for it is "HSALNT0026167". Lineage: Eukaryota; Metazoa; Chordata; Mammalia; Primates; Hominidae. The record is from RNAcentral.
GAAAGCAGUACAUAGAAGGCCAUUUCCUAAGAAUCAAGAAAAAUGGCUCCGUAACUGACUGCACCCCUCCGUUGACAGGUUUUGUCUUUUUGACUUCUCCUGAUACUCACUUUUCUAAUGUAAGAUAACCUUAAAAACAUGUCCCAUGCACCAGUAGAGUGGCCGAGCUUCCAGAACAAUGCAGGGGCUCGGAGCCUAUCACAGAUGCCCCAGCAGUUACACCGUCAUGCGCUUUAUGGUCUCAGGAAGUGACGAUGAGGAUUGUGAUUGACUAGUGUUUACUGAGCCUUGCUGAUUGGAUUUCUGCAUGGCUUAUUGAAGAGGCACUAAAAAUCACAUAGGGAACAGCCUGCGAGUUUCUGGUUUGAAAUGCUGCCUUAUGUGUAAUAGCAGUUAAUGAGGGUUUAUUAAAUCAAUCAAUCAACUAACCAUCAAUCACGGUCCUCUGACCCAGCCUGGCUUUUCAUGGACAUCCCCGCAUCUCUGUCAUAGCUGACAUUCUGAUCAAACAGAUGAGCGACCUUUCCUAACGACGCGUCAGAUCACCUUUGUCUAGAUUGGCUCUUCUUUGCAAAUCCUUUGGAAGUCCUCCUCCACCUGGUGAAAUUCUGCUCAUUCUUGAAAGCCAGCUCCAGUGUCAUAGCCUUGGGGCCUUUCCCUGUGUCUCCUCCUUCCCUUACUGUGUCCUGGAAUCCAGCCCCCGGGCUGCCUGAUGGAGGAAGGAGCCCCAUUUCCUGGUUUACAUGGGCUUCCAUGUCAGUGCUGGAAUACUGGAGAGCAUCCCCGUGUCAGGAACGCUGGAAUAGCGCUGAGCGUCCCUGUGUUGGGAACGCUGGAAUAGCGGUGAGCGUUACUGAGAAGUGAGUGUUCCCGUGUCGGGAACACUGGAAUACUAGUGAGUGUUCCCAUGUCGGCGCUUGAAUAGUGAGCGUCCCCAUAUCGGUGCCCCUUGUCCGUGCUGGAAUAGUGACCGUCACUGUGUCAGUGACCCGUGUCCGUGCUGGAAUAGUGAGCGUCCCCGUGUCGGUGCUGGAAUAGUGAACGUCCCCGUAUUAGCGCUGGAAUAGUGAGCAUCCCUGUAUCGGUGCUGCAAUAGUGAGCGUCCUCAUGUUGGUGCCCCGUAUCGGUGCUGGAACAGUGAGCGUCCCCGUGUCGGUGCCCCGUGUCGGUGCUGGAAUAGUGAGCGUCCCCGUGUCGGUGCUGGAAUAGUGAGCGUCCCCGUGUCGGUGCCCCGUGUCGGUGCUGGAAUAGUGAGUGUCCCCGUGUCGGUGCUGGAAUAGUGAGCGACCCCGUGUCGGUGCUGGAAUAGUGAGCGUCCCCAUGUCGGUGCCCCGUGUCGGUGCUGGAAUAGUGAGCGUCCCCAUGUCGGUGCCCCUUGUCGGUGCUGCAAUAGUGAGCGUCCCCGUGUCGGUGCUGGUAGAGUGGGCGUCCCCGUAUCGGUGCCCCUUGUCAGUGCUGGAAUAGUGAGCAUCCCCAUGUCGGUGCCCCUUGUCGGUGCUGGAAUAGUGAGCGUCCCCGUGUCGGUGCUGGAAUAGUGAUCGUCCCCGUGUCGGUGCUGAAAUAGUGAACGUCCCCGUGUCGGUGCUGGAAUAGUGAUCGUCCCCGUGUCGGUGCUGAAAUAGUGAACGUCCCCGUGUCGGUGCUGGAAUAGUGAGUGUCCCCGUGUCGGUGCCCCUUGUCGGUGCUGGAAUAGUGAGCGUCCCCGUGUCGGUGCCCCUUGUCGGUGCUGAAAUAGCGAGCGUCCCCACGUCGGUGCUGGAAUAGUGAGCAUCCCCGUGUCGGUGCUGGAAUAGUGAGCGUCCCCAUGUCGGUGCUGGAAUUGUGAACAUCCCCGUGUUGGUGCCCCUUGUCGGUGCUGCAAUAGUGAGCGUCCCCACGUCGGUGCUGGAAUAGUGAGCGUCCCCGUGUCGGUGCUGGAAUAGUGAGCGAGUGGGCU